GCACUUCGGGAUAAGCCUGGGAAACUGGGUCUAAUACCGGAUAGGACCAUGAGAUGCAUGUCUUAUGGUGGAAAGCUUUUGCGGUGUGGGAUGGGCCCGCGGCCUAUCAGCUUGUUGGUGGGGUCACGGCCUACCAAGGCUCCGACGGGUAGCCGGCCUGAGAGGGUGUCCGGCCACACUGGGACUGAGAUACGGCCCAGACUCCUACGGGAGGCAGCAGUGGGGAAUAUUGCACAAUGGGCGCAAGCCUGAUGCAGCGACGCCGCGUGGGGGAUGACGGCCUUCGGGUUGUAAACCUCUUUCAGCAGGGACGAAGCGCAAGUGACGGUACCUGCAGAAGAAGCACCGGCCAACUACGUGCCAGCAGCCGCGGUAGUACGUGGGGUGCGAGCGUUGUCCGGAAUUACUGGGCGUAAAGAGCUCGUAGGUGGUUUGUCGCGUUGUUCGCGAAAUCUCACGGCUUAACUGUGAGCGUGCGGGCGAUACGGGCAGACUGGAGUACUGCAGGGGAGACUGGAAUUCCUGGUGUAGCGGUGGAAUGCGCAGAUAUCAUGAGGAACACCGGUGGCGAAGGCGGGUCUCUGGGCAGUAACUGACGCUGAGGAGCGAAAGCGUGAGGAGCGAACAGGAUUAGAUACCCUGGUAGUCCACGCCGUAAACGGUGGGUACUAGGUGUGGGUUUCCUU
This 686-nucleotide ribosomal RNA is filed under the name uncultured Mycobacterium sp. RNAcentral's name for it is "bacterial SSU rRNA". It matches the Rfam family "Bacterial small subunit ribosomal RNA", at positions 133 to 833 of the family's 1533-position model. The record is from RNAcentral. Lineage: Bacteria; Bacillati; Actinomycetota; Actinomycetes; Mycobacteriales; Mycobacteriaceae.